UAGGCUUGUUUACAUAAAAAUGGGGUCAUCUGGAUCCCACAAGACAGUGCGCUGAACUUUUUUUUUUCAAUGAUUGUUGAUCUUUACUGGUGCUCAAUGACAGACAUGAAGUCUUGUCCACCUUUAUCAUGGAAGGGCUAACACCUCUAUGUAAGGGUGGGGUCAUCUGGACCCCAUAAGAGAGCAUGAGGGUUUAAUCAAUAAAAGUAUUGCGAUAUUUCAUUGAAUCAAUAUGUUCUUACACCCCUAAUAAAUGUAUUAGAAAAUAAUGUGACAAAUUCACCAUAUUCCCAGGCUGUAGGUAGACGGGUAGGCCAGUUUGGUCCAGGUGUCGGGGACAUUGUCAAAGAACAAGGCGGUCUGCAGCUUCUCCAUUUCAGAGGACAUGGCCAGUUCACCCUUCAGAGAUGUUAACAUGCUGCAUUACUACAAACUAUCAGUAAUGGAGGUGAAAUAUGUAGACCAGGGGUGUCCAACUCCAGGCCUCAAAGGCCGGCCUCCUGCUGGUUUUCCAGAAACCAUCUGCAGUUGAUUACUUGGAUCAGGUGUGUUCAGCCAAUAAGGAGCUUGAAUGGCAGGUUGGUAGGAAAACGUGUAGGAGACCGGCCCUCGACGUCUGGGGUUGGACAGUCAGACUGUCAUUGAGGUUUGGGCUCACCUUAAGGCCCAGGUCGAGCUCCUUGAGUGAGCGGCGAAUCUCACAGCUGCAGUGUGCUUGGUCGUCUCUAGUUUCUCAACCAGCAUGUUGUCCCCGAGGAAGUUACUCUCUGCCGCAGAUAGCCGGAUGAUCAUCUUUCUUCUUGCACUUGUGUGUUCUGCCAACCUGCCCUUCUUGAUGGUGUGGCGCCCCAGCAGAGGGUCUAUAACCGGAUCAAUCGUCUCCUCCAAGUUCUCGAUGAGGACGGGGUCGCCUGCCACUACGGCCUGUUCAAUGACGUCUACGUACCUGAAGACAAAACCAAGCAGAACAAAGGGUACUUUCAGGCAGUUUGCAGCAGCAAAGUUUGACAAACAACAACAAAACACACUUGUAUCACAGUUCUCCAGGCAUACUAAAAGCCUUGGAACUCACCCUUUUUGUCCAAGACUGACAACCUUUAGGCGGUUACCAUAGCGAUUCUUGAUCCACUUGAUGCCUUGAAGUUGGGGAUCAAUGAGCAGAGGCCAGCGUUCACCUGUAACAACCCAGAUCUACUAUUGUCACAAAGCAAAUGUUGAUCUUUAGAAGGAGACCGUCAACACUCACAGUUAAUGAGGAUGGUGGCGUUCUGAGUGGACAUUUUGUCUCCUGGUAAGCCUUCAUUGUUCCACUGGGCCACAGUGGCAUCGUCGGUCAGAAUUGACACCGGAUCCAAGUCUCCUGUCAUGGGAAUGGGGACCUAAAGAAAAACCGCAUAGAUGUCUCCUAACAGACAGUAACCACGAAAGCCAAAAAAUAACUUGCAGGAACCUUCUGAUUCCGCAGGAAUGGCAUCCACAUGUUGUCCAGCAGCUCAAUCCUGUACUUCUUGGAAAAGGAGCCGGCGUAAGAGAUGAAAGCUGCAGUUAGGAGGAGAUCACCGCAGAGAGUUUCUUCCUGUUCGUGGUACUGAGCCACUGAGUGGGCCCAGCGCACAUUUUCACUCUGAAACACAGAAAUACACUGAAAUAUACUGUUGUGCUGGGUGUUGGAAAUCAUCUCCAAUGUGUUUCUUCAACUACAUUUAAAGGAUAUCACACCAAUAAAAUUUAGUUAAAAAUGUAGUUUGUUUUGUGUUUUCAUACCUCCAGUCCCUUCACCAGUCGAUUGGCCAGUUCUAUUGUCUUGUUGGUGCGAUUGACUUCUUCCUGAAAGCGAAGCUUCUCCUCUGUGGCUUUCUCAAAGGCUGUCGUCAACACUUCCAGAUUACCAUCCAGUUCCUGAGAAGGAGAACGUUGUAUUUCAGCACACACUGCUUAAACUGGACCUAACAUCUGGAAACAUCUAAGAAACUAUUUUCUGACGGCCAACAGUGAAGCAAAGUAAUCAAAUACUAAAGUCAGUGUCUGCAGG
Molecule: long non-coding RNA, 2032 nt
Filed under: Oryzias javanicus (javanese ricefish)
Lineage: Eukaryota; Metazoa; Chordata; Actinopteri; Beloniformes; Adrianichthyidae
Description: lncRNA (ENSOJAG00000022448.1)
Source: RNAcentral